Long non-coding RNA from Cyprinus carpio carpio, 2760 nucleotides. NCBI's taxonomy places the organism in Eukaryota, Metazoa, Chordata, Actinopteri, Cypriniformes, Cyprinidae. The record is from Ensembl.
AUGUUCAUUGGCCACAGAGUUUAUUUCCUGCAAUAAUCCAAAACCAAUUUAAAAAAAAAAUUGUCAUUAGCUACAGACAGUUUCAUAAAACAGCACUUUAACAUGAAAGAAUUACUCUGAAAAGACCAAGACAGCAGUGCUUUUCACAAUAUUAUCUCAUUGAAAAGAACAAUAGAAAAUAUUUGAAGCUAUAAGGGCCAUAAAAAUACAUUCACGACUGGCCUCUUUGCAAACAGCAGUCAAUAAACCCUGUAAAACAUGUGUUCAUUAUAUGUGGUGACAUGACCCCAAGAGCCCUAUUAAUGUGUUUAUUUGCAUUGUCCAUUCCCAGAUCUUUGCCAAAGUGUGGGAAUUAUAUCGCUUCCCUUUAGAGUGACAUCUGUGGGAUCUUUCUCUGUUUCGACAUUUGAGACAAUCGUGUGGAACGCUGAGAUGUACAAUGAGAGAGAUGCUGGGAGAGAUAUAUGAUACUGUGAAGAACGGGCUAAUCUCCCUUCCAAUCUGUCUGGCUUUUUCCAUCCAUCGAUUUUUUUUUUCUGCAAAAAGCCUUACAUAACUUGGCUGAAAAACAACAUACAUAUAAUCUGUAUGUCACAGAUGUCACUGUAAUCUCAGUGUUUAUGAUCAGUUUCUAUAGGAGCCCAAAGCUUUUGAAGUCUACACGAUCUCUCACAAAUGAGCCUCAAUUCUGCUAAGCUAAUUAUAUUUGCUGUAUUUGCUACCUACUGUACUGCUAAACCCAUCCUCCCCGCAAGAGUGCAGUAAGAUAUAAAUUGGCUGCGUUUAGAUUGUUUAGCCAAUGGACCUUUUUCUCAUUUCCGGGUUUCUCACACAGACUGUAUAAAAACACGGACGUAGUGUCCGUGAUGUCACCCGUAGUUUUCUGAAGAGCGUUUUUGAAGCUCAAAGUGGGUGGAGCGGGCCGUUGCCAUCUUGGCAGCGCGUCACUCCCGGAUCAUCGAAAUGGGCAAAAAGGCGGAGCUGAAGCCACGGAUAAUUUAAACGGAUGAGUUAUAAAAAAAAUGUUGUCAUGAAGGGCAAAAUUAGCUAUAGACCAAAAUCAUUUUCUGAACCAGGCUGUAAACGUUUUUUUUUUCUGCUGUGAAGUUGGGCAUUUUAACAUGGGGAGUCUAUGGGAUUACUCUCUUUUGCAGCCAGCCUCUAGCGGCCAGUGGACGAAUUACAGUUUACGUCACUUCCGUGUUGGUUUCACGAGAGAGAGCGGGAGGUUGCCGCUUGGUUUCUCAGCAGGGUAGUCAUCCUAAUUGGGUUAACUUGAAGAGCAGUCAAUGGUAGAGUAGGCUACCACAAAUAUAUUUUUUGCAUUCCCAUUUGCUCAAAUAGCAAAAGAAAAACUCCACGAUAGUGUUUUCAUGACUUUCAAUAAAACGAAAAAAAAAUUGAGAGAGACUGAUAACGGCAGUCAGAAGAGAGAACCGUGUCAAAUUUACCAUUGCUCCCAUAGACGCUGCAUUAGAAACACUCUCGCAUGAGCGUUAACUGUUGUUUUUUUUUGUGUGUGUGUGUGUGUGUGUGUGUGUGUGUGUGUGUGUGUAAUCUGAAGCAAAGUUAUUAUAAUACAAUGAAUAGUGUUAUAAAUGUACAUGUUUGUAAAAAUACAGAUAUGAAAGACUUUUGAGGAUUUACCAUGCUGAUGACCGUUAAACACAUCAUCACAGUCCUGUGAAAAGGGUUCAUCAGAACACUUUUGAAGCGCUUUCUACCAGCCACCUAUUUGGCGUGUUUACAGCAGGAAGUCCAUAUUUGGGAUGCCGGAAGCUGAGAGCUGGUAGAUGAACUUGGAGCGGUUUUUACAAGUUUUGGGAGAGAAUGUUGACAGUUUCUCAUCUGCCAUACAGCCAAGCGUCUUAAAGAAUACAAAGACUAAUAACAUAAGUAAAGAGACCAGAAAGCGAGGGAACCAAAAACAAGGCGAGAAUGAACAUCGGUAAAGGAUAUCAUCGCUGGAAGAAGCACGUGCGUUUGCGUCACUUCUGACUGAAAGGUAAAUAUUCACUUUAGGUUUUCUAGGUUCACUUUAUUUACACAAUCAAAUAAUUUCAUACUUUUCCACAAUUUUUUCAUAUUAUUAUUUAGCUCAUAUUAUUUCAGCAGUGUUCUGCCCAAAAUAGGCUUGAGAAUAUAAAAUGUUCAAAUCUUGACGGUUUGAGAGUUUAAAAGAUAUGUAAAACAAUAAUAGGCCUAUUAGGCUAUUGUAACACUGUAAAUGAAUAAAAUAUGUAAUCUUUUAUUAGUGUUUUAUGUUCACUUUAUCUGUUUUUGUUUCUGUAUUAUUGUUAUUAUUAUUAUUUAAUAAUAUUUAAUUAUAGUUAUAAUUAUUAUUUUAAUGUCUAAUUCUAAUAAUUUCAUGAAUAAUUAUAGGCUAAUUAUACUUUUAUUUACUUAAUGUAAUGUGACCAUUAAUUAAUCAACCAAGUAGUUAACCAAUAAUUAGAUAAAUGUGAAUAUGUUCUUAAAUUAUUGAAUUAUCAAAAUAAAAUCUCAGGGGAUGCUAAGUUAUUUCACAUGUUUUGUGAAGAAAGAAUCAUACUCAUGAAAGAAUCAUUCUUUUGAGUCUAAGCUUUUUAACUAAUCAGUUGAACAGGUUACAGAUCAUUUACAAAUGUUGAAUGAUUAAUUCCUGAAUCAUGAUUAUAGUGUUUUCGAGUUAAACUCACUCAAAAAUCUUGUUCCUCAGCCUUGACGUUAUCCUUUUUGAAGUUUGAAAGCUCCUGUUAAUUGUAAUUGCACUGAAAAUUG